Molecule: ribosomal RNA, 467 nt
Filed under: uncultured bacterium
Lineage: Bacteria
Description: partial 16S ribosomal RNA
Rfam family: Bacterial small subunit ribosomal RNA
Source: RNAcentral
GACGAACGCUGGCGGCGUGCUUAACACAUGCAAGUCGAACGGAAAGGCCCUGCUUUUGUGGGGUGCUCGAGUGGCGAACGGGUGAGUAACACGUGAGUAACCUGCCCUUGACUUUGGGAUAACUUCAGGAAACUGGGGCUAAUACCGGAUAGGAGCUCCUGCUGCAUGGUGGGGGUUGGAAAGUUUCGGCGGUUGGGGAUGGACUCGCGGCUUAUCAGCUUGAUGGUGGGGUAGUGGCUUACCAAGGCUUUGACGGGUAGCCGGCCUGAGAGGGUGACCGGCCACAUUGGGACUGAGAUACGGCCCAGACUCCUACGGGAGGCAGCAGUGGGGAAUAUUGCACAAUGGGCGGAAGCCUGAUGCAGCAACGCCGCGUGCGGGAUGACGGCCUUCGGGUUGGAAACCGCUUUCGCCUGUGACGAAGCGUGAGUGACGGUAAUGGGUAAAGAAGCACCGGCUAACUACGU